This 386-nucleotide ribosomal RNA is filed under the name uncultured bacterium. Its description in RNAcentral is "bacterial SSU rRNA". It matches the Rfam family "Bacterial small subunit ribosomal RNA", at positions 29 to 416 of the family's 1533-position model. The record is from RNAcentral.
AUUAAACGCUGGCGGCAUGCCUUACACAUGCAAGUCGAACGGCAGCACGGGGGCAACCCUGGUGGCGAGUGGCGAACGGGUGAGUAAAGCAUCGGAACGUGCCCUGGAGUGGGGGAUAACGUAGCGAAAGUUACGCAAAUACCGCAUAUUCUGUGAGCAGGAAAGCAGGGGAUCGCAAGACCUUGCGCUCUGGGAGCGGCCGAUGUCGGAUUAGCUAGUUGGUGGGGUAAAGGCCUACCAAGGCGACGAUCCGUAGCGGGUCUGAGAGGAUGAUCCGCCACACUGGGACUGAGACACGGCCCAGACUCCUACGGGAGGCAGCAGUGGGGAAUUUUGGACAAUGGGCGAAAGUCUGAUCCAGCCAUGCCGCGUGAGUGAAGAAGGCC